This 409-nucleotide ribosomal RNA is filed under the name uncultured bacterium. Its description in RNAcentral is "bacterial SSU rRNA". It matches the Rfam family "Bacterial small subunit ribosomal RNA", at positions 1090 to 1501 of the family's 1533-position model. The record is from RNAcentral.
CAACGAGCGCAACCCUUAUCUUUAGUUGCUACCAUUAAGUUGAGAACUNUAAAGAGAUCUNCCGGUGAUAAACCGGAGGAAGGUGGGGNNGACGUCAAGUCAUCAUGGCCCUUAUGGGAUGGGNUACACACGUGCUACAAUGGGGGGUACAAAGAGCAGCCAACUGGCAACAGUGCGCGAAUCUCAAAAAACCUCUCGUAGUCCGGAUCGGAGUCUGCAACUNGACUCCGUGAAGUCGGAAUCGCUAGUAAUCGUGGAUCAGAAUGCCGCGGUGAAUACGUUCCCGGGCCUUGUACACACCGCCCGUCACACCAUGGGAGUGGAUGCAAAAGAAGUAGGUAGCCUAACCUUCGGGAGGGCGCUUACCACUUUGUGGUUCAUGACUGGGUGAAGUCGUAACAAGGUAACC